CUCCAGUUGUCGGUAGGUCUACUCUAGAACUUUCUCCAGUUGUCGGUAGGUCUGCUCUAGAACUUUCUCCUGUUGUCGGUAGGUCUGCUCUAGAACUUUCUCCAGUUGUCGGUAGGUCUGCUCUAGAACUUUCUCCAGUUGUCGGUAGGUCUGCUCUAGAACUUUCUCCAGUUGUCGGUAGGUCUGCUCUAGAACUUUCUCCAGUUGUCGGUAGGUCUACUCUAGAACUUUCUCCAGUUGUCGGUAGGUCUACUCUAGAACUUUCUCCAGUUGUCGGUAGGUCUACUCUAGAACUUUCUCCAGUUGUCGGUAGGUCUACUCUAGAACUUUCUCCAGUUGUCGGUAGGUCUACUCUAGAACUUUCUCCAGUUGUCAGUAGGUCUACUCUAGAACUUUCUCCAGGGGACGUUCUCCUUUCCUGCUUCCAGUCUUUUAGUCUCACUUAGAACAUUCCAGGUCCUUGAAGUCCAUAGAGG
Long non-coding RNA from Acanthochromis polyacanthus (spiny chromis), 476 nucleotides. RefSeq lists it as uncharacterized. The transcript has 4 exons. The record is from RefSeq and is a predicted model, not a curated record. Lineage: Eukaryota; Metazoa; Chordata; Actinopteri; Pomacentridae.